AUUGAACGCUGGCGGCAUGCCUUACACAUGCAAGUCGAACGGUAACGAGCCUUCGGGUGCCGACGAGUGGCGAACGGGUGAGUAAUACAUCGGAACGUGCCCGAUCGUGGGGGAUAACGAGGCGAAAGCUUUGCUAAUACCGCAUACGAUCUACGGAUGAAAGCAGGGGACCGCAAGGCCUUGCGCGGACGGAGCGGCCGAUGGCAGAUUAGGUAGUUGGUGGGAUAAAAGCUUACCAAGCCGACGAUCUGUAGCUGGUCUGAGAGGAUGAUCAGCCACACUGGGACUGAGACACGGCCCAGACUCCUACGGGAGGCAGCAGUGGGGAAUUUUGGACAAUGGGCGCAAGCCUGAUCCAGCCAUGCCGCGUGAAGGAUGAAGGCCUUCGGGUUGUAAACUGCUUUUGUACGGAACGAAAAGCCUUCUUUUAAUACAGGAGGGUCAUGACGGUACCGUAAGAAUAAGCACCGGCUAACUACGUG
This 482-nucleotide ribosomal RNA is filed under the name uncultured bacterium. RNAcentral's name for it is "partial 16S ribosomal RNA". It matches the Rfam family "Bacterial small subunit ribosomal RNA", at positions 30 to 507 of the family's 1533-position model. The record is from RNAcentral.